Molecule: small nuclear RNA, 107 nt
Filed under: Castor canadensis (American beaver)
Lineage: Eukaryota; Metazoa; Chordata; Mammalia; Rodentia; Castoridae
Source: RNAcentral
GUGCUCAUUUAGGCAGCAUAUAUACUAAAAUUAGAGUGACACAGUGAAGAUUAGCAUGGCCCCUGUGCAAGGAUGACACGCAAAUUUAUGAAGCAUUCCCUAUUUAA